This 119-nucleotide ribosomal RNA is filed under the name Pteropus alecto (black flying fox). The record is from RNAcentral. Lineage: Eukaryota; Metazoa; Chordata; Mammalia; Chiroptera; Pteropodidae.
GUCUACGGCCAUGCCACCCUGAACACAUGCGAUCUUGUCUAAUCUCGGAAGCUAAGCAGGGUCGGGCCUGGUUAGUACUUGGAUGGGAGACCACCUAGGAAGACCAGGUGCUGUAGGCA